AACAGCUCAAAUUGGAAAUCUGGCGCAAGCCCGAGUUGUAAUUUGCAGAGGAUGCUUCAGGCCAGCGACCGGUCUAAGUUCCUUGGAACAGGACGUCGUAGAGGGUGAGAAUCCCGUAUGCGACCGGUUGGCACCCGUCACGUAGCUCCUUCGACGAGUCGAGUUGUUUGGGAAUGCAGCUCUAAAUGGGAGGUAAAUUUCUUCUAAAGCUAAAUACCGGCCAGAGACCGAUAGCGCACAAGUAGAGUGAUCGAAAGAUGAAAAGCACUUUGGAAAGAGAGUUAAAAAGCACGUGAAAUUGUUGAAAGGGAAGCGCAUGCAACCAGACUUGUCGGCGGUGUUCCGCCGGUCUUCUGACCGGUCCACUCGCCGCCGGCAGGCCAGCAUCAUCUGGGCGCGCCGGACAAAGGCGCGGGGAAUGUAGCUCCUCGGAGUGUUAUAGCCCCGCGCACAAAACGGCGCCGCUCGGGUGAGGUCCGCGCAUCGGCUAGGAUGCUGGCGUAAUGGUUGUCUGCGGCCCGUCUUGAAACACGGACCAAGGAGUCUAACAUCUAUGCGAGUGUUCGGGUGUCAAACCCCUACGCGGAAUGAAAGUGAACGGAGGUGGGAAGCGCAAGCUGCACCAUCGACCGAUCCUGAUGUCUUCGGAUGGAUUUGAGUAAGAGCAUAGCUGUUGGGACCCGAAAGAUGGUGAACUAUGCCUGAAUAGGGUGAAGCCAGAGGAAACUCUGGUGGAGG
Molecule: ribosomal RNA, 738 nt
Filed under: Teratosphaeria nubilosa
Lineage: Eukaryota; Fungi; Ascomycota; Dothideomycetes; Mycosphaerellales; Teratosphaeriaceae
Description: eukaryotic LSU rRNA
Rfam family: Eukaryotic large subunit ribosomal RNA
Source: RNAcentral